RNAcentral lists this ribosomal RNA (477 nucleotides) under uncultured bacterium. RNAcentral's name for it is "partial 16S ribosomal RNA". It matches the Rfam family "Bacterial small subunit ribosomal RNA", at positions 30 to 507 of the family's 1533-position model. The record is from RNAcentral.
AUUGAACGCUGGCGGCAUGCCUUACACAUGCAAGUCGAACGGUAACAGGUUAAGCUGACGAGUGGCGAACGGGUGAGUAAUGUAUCGGAACGUGCCCAGUCGUGGGGGAUAACUGCUCGAAAGAGCAGCUAAUACCGCAUACGACCUGAGGGUGAAAGCGGGGGAUCGCAAGACCUCGCGCGAUUGGAGCGGCCGAUAUCAGAUUAGGUAGUUGGUGAGGUAAAGGCUCACCAAGCCGACGAUCUGUAGCUGGUCUGAGAGGACGACCAGCCACACUGGGACUGAGACACGGCCCAGACUCCUACGGGAGGCAGCAGUGGGGAAUUUAGGACAAUGGGCGCAAGCCUGAUCCAGCCAUGCCGCGUGCGGGAAGAAGGCCUUCGGGUUGUAAACCGCUUUUGUCAGGGAAGAAAAGGUUCUGGCUAAUACCUGGGACUCAUGACGGUACCUGAAGAAUAAGCACCGGCUAACUACGUG